Molecule: ribosomal RNA, 438 nt
Filed under: uncultured bacterium
Lineage: Bacteria
Description: bacterial SSU rRNA
Rfam family: Bacterial small subunit ribosomal RNA
Source: RNAcentral
UCCUACGGGAGGCAGCAGUGAGGAAUAUUGCACAAUGGGGGAAACCCUGAUGCAGCAACGCCGCGUGAGGGACGAAGGCCUUCGGGUCGUAAACCUCUUUUCUGAGGGAAGAGUCAGGACGGUACCUCAGGAAUAAGUCUCGGCUAACUACGUGCCAGCAGCCGCGGUAAAACGUAGGAGGCGAGCGUUAUCCGGAUUUACUGGGCGUAAAGCGCACGCAGGCGGCUUCGUUAGUCGGAUGUGAAAGCUCCUGGCUUAACUGGGAGAGGCCAUUCGAUACUGCGAGGCUUGAGGUUGGGAGAGGGGUGCGGAAUUCCCGGUGUAGUGGUGGAAUGCGUAGAUAUCGGGAGGAACACCUGUGGCGAAGGCGGCACCCUGGCCCACACCUGACGCUGAGGUGCGAAAGCGUGGGUAGCAAACAGGAUUAGAUACCCUGGU